This 484-nucleotide ribosomal RNA is filed under the name uncultured bacterium. RNAcentral's name for it is "partial 16S ribosomal RNA". It matches the Rfam family "Bacterial small subunit ribosomal RNA", at positions 28 to 507 of the family's 1533-position model. The record is from RNAcentral.
AUUGAACGCUGGCGGCAUGCUUUACACAUGCAAGUCGAACGGCAGCGCGGGCUUCGGCCUGGCGGCGAGUGGCGAACGGGUGAGUAAUGCAUCGGAACGUGCCCAGUAGUGGGGGAUAGCCCGGCGAAAGCCGUAUUAAUACCGCAUACGACCUGAGGGUGAAAGCGGGGGACCGAAAGGCCUCGCGCUCUUGGAUCGGCCGAUGUCGGAUUAGCUAGUUGGUGGGGUAAAGGCUUACCAAGGCGACGAUCCGUAGCUGGUCUGAGAGGACGACCAGCCACACUGGGACUGAGACACGGCCCAGACUCCUACGGGAGGCAGCAGUGGGGAAUUUUGGACAAUGGGGGCAACCCUGAUCCAGCCAUGCCGCGUGCGGGAAGAAGGCCUUCGGGUUGUAAACCGCUUUUGUUCGGGAAGAAAUCCUCUGGGCUAAUACCCCGGGGGGAUGACGGUACCGGAAGAAUAAGCACCGGCUAACUACGUG